GAUAGCGUCCAUAGACCAGCGGCAAAUCCCGUUCCCAUUCCGAACACGGAAGAUAAUCACUGGUGCGUCUCAUGAGUAGUCAGUAAAAUGGCAAAAAUGAGUUGAUGCUAUCA
Molecule: ribosomal RNA, 113 nt
Filed under: Candidatus Acidifodinimicrobium mancum
Lineage: Archaea; Nanobdellati; Candidatus Parvarchaeota; Candidatus Acidifodinimicrobiaceae
Source: RNAcentral